AGAAUUGAUCUUGGUCAGAGCGAACGCUGGCGGCAGGCUAACACAUGCAAGUCGAGCGGGCAUCGCAAGAUGUCAGCGGCAGACGGGAGAGUAACACGUGGGAACACGCCCUUCGGGUUCGGAAUAAACUCAGGGAAACUUGAGCUAAUACCGGAUACGUCCGUAAGGGGAAAGAUUUAUCGCCGAAGGAUUGGCCCGCGUCCGAUUAGCUAGUUGGUGAGGUAACGGCUCACCAAGGCGACGAUCGGUAGCUGGUCUGAGAGGAUGAUCAGCCUCACUGGGACUGAGACACGGCCCAGACUCCUACGGGAGGGCAGCAGUGGGGAAUAUUGGACAACGGGCGCAAGCCUGAUCCAGCCAUGCCGCGUGGGUGAUGAAGGCCCUAGGGUUGUAAAGCCCUUUCGGCGGGGAAGAUAAUGACGGUACCCGCAGAAGAAGCCCCGGCUAACUUCGUGCCAGCCGCAGC
RNAcentral lists this ribosomal RNA (466 nucleotides) under uncultured bacterium. Its description in RNAcentral is "bacterial SSU rRNA". It matches the Rfam family "Bacterial small subunit ribosomal RNA", at positions 9 to 518 of the family's 1533-position model. The record is from RNAcentral.